AAGGCUUUAAGUUAAAAUCAAACUAAUAUCCUUCAAAGCUAUAAAUAAAGAAGUUUCUUUAAGCCUUA
RNAcentral lists this transfer RNA (68 nucleotides) under Stolotermes victoriensis. RNAcentral's name for it is "tRNA-Trp". Lineage: Eukaryota; Metazoa; Arthropoda; Insecta; Blattodea; Termopsidae. The record is from RNAcentral.